Molecule: long non-coding RNA, 217 nt
Organism: Acanthaster planci (crown-of-thorns starfish)
Lineage: Eukaryota; Metazoa; Echinodermata; Asteroidea; Valvatida; Acanthasteridae
Source: RefSeq, a predicted model, not a curated record
CGCCUACCUGCCUGGUGUGUGGAAACGUGACUCUCCACGCCUCUUCAGGUUACGGAUACACGCCACCAGAGGUCAACUUUCAGGCUCUAUAGAGAGACUACCUUCGACAAGGCUAUCUGUCUGCUGGAUUGAGAUAGCUGAUCGCGUGUGACAUAGAGAAGACUGUACCAAGGAUGGAUACGGGGCACUCCAAAGUCUCAUGGACAGGAGUUAAGAA